Molecule: unclassified non-coding RNA, 251 nt
Filed under: plant metagenome
Description: partial contains small subunit ribosomal RNA, internal transcribed spacer 1, and 5.8S ribosomal RNA
Rfam family: Eukaryotic small subunit ribosomal RNA (bases 1-54)
Source: RNAcentral
AGAAGUAAAAGUCGUAACAAGGUCUCCGUAGGUGAACCCGCGGAGGGAUCAUUACAGAGUUCAUGCCCUACCGGGUAGAUCUCCCACCCUAUGUUAUUAUUACUUUGUUGCUUUGGCGGGCCGUUAGGCUCCGGCCCGACUACCGGCCCCGGCUGGUAAGCGCCCGCCAGAGGACCCAAAACCCUGAAUAUUAGUGUCGUCUGAGUACUAUAUAAUAGUUAAAACUUUCAACAACGGAUCUCUUGGUUCUG